Ovis aries (sheep) is the source of this 72-nucleotide transfer RNA. It matches the Rfam family "tRNA". From Rfam's summary of the family: Transfer RNA (tRNA) molecules are approximately 80 nucleotides in length. Their secondary structure includes four short double-helical elements and three loops (D, anti-codon, and T loops). NCBI's taxonomy places the organism in Eukaryota, Metazoa, Chordata, Mammalia, Artiodactyla, Bovidae. The record is from Rfam.
UCCCUGGUGGCUCAGAGGUUAAAGCAUCUGCCUGGAAUGCAGGAGAUCUGGGUUUGAUCCCUGGGUUGUGAA